This 463-nucleotide ribosomal RNA is filed under the name uncultured bacterium. RNAcentral describes it as "partial 16S ribosomal RNA". It matches the Rfam family "Bacterial small subunit ribosomal RNA", at positions 28 to 507 of the family's 1533-position model. The record is from RNAcentral.
GACGAGCGCUGGCGGCGUGCUUAACACAUGCAAGUCGAGCGGUAAGGCCCUUCGGGGUACACGAGCGGCGAACGGGUGAGUAACACGUGAGUAAUCUGCCCAUCACUUCGGGAUAACUCCGGGAAACCGGUGCUAAUACCGAAUAUGACCACUUCAGGCAUCUGAUGGUGGUGGAAAGUUCCGGCGGUGAUGGAUGAGCUCGCGGCCUAUCAGCUUGUUGGUGGGGUAGUGGCCUACCAAGGCUUCGACGGGUAGCCGGCCUGAGAGGGUGACCGGCCACACUGGGACUGAGACACGGCCCAGACUCCUACGGGAGGCAGCAGUGGGGAAUAUUGGACAAUGGGCGAAAGCCUGAUCCAGCAACGCCGCGUGAGGGAUGACGGCCUUCGGGUUGUAAACCUCUUUCAGCAGGGACGAAGCGCAAGUGACGGUACCUGCAGAAGAAGCACCGGCCAACUACGUG